UACGAAGGGUGCAAGCGUUGUUCGGAAUCAUUGGGCGUAAAGCGCGCGCAGGCGGAUUGAUAAGUCAGGUGUGAAAUCUCGAGGCUCAACCUCGAAACUGCGCCUGAAACUAUUAGUCUAGAGUGUCGGAGGGGGCAGGGGAAUUUCACGUGUAGGGGUAAAAUCCGUAGAGAUGUGAAGGAACACCGGAGGCGAAGGCGCCUGCCUGGACGACUACUGACGCUGAGGCGCGAAAGCGUGGGGAGCGAACAGG
Molecule: ribosomal RNA, 253 nt
Filed under: uncultured bacterium
Lineage: Bacteria
Description: partial 16S ribosomal RNA
Rfam family: Bacterial small subunit ribosomal RNA
Source: RNAcentral